RNAcentral lists this ribosomal RNA (253 nucleotides) under uncultured bacterium. RNAcentral describes it as "partial 16S ribosomal RNA". It matches the Rfam family "Bacterial small subunit ribosomal RNA", at positions 524 to 776 of the family's 1533-position model. The record is from RNAcentral.
UACGUAGGGUGCGAGCGUUAAUCGGAAUUACUGGGCGUAAAGCGUGCGCAGGCGGUCUUGUAAGACAGUUGUGAAAUCCCCGGGCUUAACCUGGGAACUGCAAUUGUGACUGCAAGGCUAGAGUGUGUCAGAGGGGGGUGGAAUUCCACGUGUAGCAGUGAAAUGCGUAGAGAUGUGGAGGAACACCGAUGGCGAAGGCAGCCCCCUGGGAUAACACUGACGCUCAUGCACGAAAGCGUGGGGAGCAAACAGG